RNAcentral lists this ribosomal RNA (253 nucleotides) under uncultured bacterium. Its description in RNAcentral is "partial 16S ribosomal RNA". It matches the Rfam family "Bacterial small subunit ribosomal RNA", at positions 524 to 776 of the family's 1533-position model. The record is from RNAcentral.
UACAGAGGUCUCAAGCGUUGUUCGGAUUCAUUGGGCGUAAAGGGUGCGUAGGUGGCGCCGUAAGUCGGGUGUGAAAUUUCGGAGCUUAACUCCGAAACUGCAUUCGAUACUGCGGUGCUUGAGGACUGGAGAGGAGACUGGAAUUCAUGGUGUAGCAGUGAAAUGCGUAGAGAUGUGGAGGAAUACCGAUGGCGAAGGCAGCCCCCUGGGCCAAUACUGACGCUCAUGCACGAAAGCGUGGGGAGCAAACAGG